UACGUAGGUGGCAAGCGUUGUCCGAAAUUAUUGGGCGUAAAGCGCGCGCAGGCGGUCCCUUAAGUCUGAUGUGAAAGCCCCCGGCUCAGCCGGGGAGGGCCAUUGGAAACUGGGAGGCUUGAGUAUAGGAGAGAAGAGUGGAAUUCAACGUGUAGCGGUGAAAUGCGUAGAGAUGUGGAGGAACACCAGUGGCGAAGGCGACUCUUUGGCCUAUAACUGACGCUCAGGUGCGAAAGCGUGGGGAGCAAACGGG
RNAcentral lists this unclassified non-coding RNA (253 nucleotides) under uncultured Caryophanales bacterium. RNAcentral describes it as "uncultured Bacillales bacterium contains 16S-23S intergenic spacer region". It matches the Rfam family "Bacterial small subunit ribosomal RNA", at positions 524 to 776 of the family's 1533-position model. The record is from RNAcentral. Lineage: Bacteria; Bacillati; Bacillota; Bacilli; Caryophanales.